This 549-nucleotide ribosomal RNA is filed under the name uncultured bacterium. RNAcentral's name for it is "bacterial SSU rRNA". It matches the Rfam family "Bacterial small subunit ribosomal RNA", at positions 125 to 668 of the family's 1533-position model. The record is from RNAcentral.
UCUGCCUGGUAGUGGGGGAUAACGUCCGGAAACGGACGCUAAUACCGCAUACGUCCUACGGGAGAAAGCAGGGGACCUUCGGGCCUUGCGCUAUCAGAUGAGCCUAGGUCGGAUUAGCUAGUUGGUGGGGUAAUGGCUCACCAAGGCGACGAUCCGUAACUGGUCUGAGAGGAUGAUCAGUCACACUGGAACUGAGACACGGUCCAGACUCCUACGGGAGGCAGCAGUGGGGAAUAUUGGACAAUGGGCGAAAGCCUGAUCCAGCCAUGCCGCGUGUGUGAAGAAGGUCUUCGGAUUGUAAAGCACUUUAAGUUGGGAGGAAGGGCAGUAAAUUAAUACUUUGCUGUUUUGACGUUACCGACAGAAUAAGCACCGGCUAACUCUGUGCCAGCAGCCGCGGUAAUACAGAGGGUGCAAGCGUUAAUCGGAAUUACUGGGCGUAAAGCGCGCGUAGGUGGUUCGUUAAGUUGGAUGUGAAAAUCCCCGGGCUCAACCUGGGAACUGCAUUCAAAACUGACGAGCUAGAGUAUGGUAGAGGGUGGUGGAAUU